Pelmatolapia mariae (spotted tilapia) is the source of this 1535-nucleotide long non-coding RNA. RefSeq lists it as uncharacterized. The transcript is spliced from 4 exons. The record is from RefSeq and is a predicted model, not a curated record. Lineage: Eukaryota; Metazoa; Chordata; Actinopteri; Cichliformes; Cichlidae.
AUUCACCUGCAAAAGUGAUGACCUUAAAUGACCCAAGCCAGAGCAAUCAGCACUAGAUCGAGUCGAGCGGCUCUCAGCCAAUUAAAUUACGCUGUUUGAUCACAUGACAUGUUAGCCGGCAGUGUCUUCUGAAAAGAGAGCUGUUUAGAGGUGAGUGAUUAAGUUUUUCUCCUAAAUAGAGAUCAUUACAGAACGCCUAGUCCUACUUAAAAUACCAUUCGUUUUUCUUUUAUUUUAUCAUCUACUCGAACUGAGGAAAACGUUUGACUAACUCAAAGAAAAGUUCCGCGCCUCCCCUGCCUGUCUGCAGAGGCAGUUUUGAAUUCAGGAGCGGCAUGAUGGCAGCGGCAAACCCUGGCGGUUCUCCGGGUUCGUGGCAACCACGGAUGGGAAAAUGUGGAGGUUGCACGGCUGAUGUUUACUGUUCGUGGCACAGGAAGAGGCAGUUUCAUUUCAGGAAUGAGUGUGCACAAUCAAAGAAUAGAGCGACUGUGGAGAGACCUCUGGGUGGCCGUUACAUGCAUUUACUACGAUGUUCUUCACAACCCUGAGGAAGAAGGCCUUCUUGACAUUUCAAAUGCUGCACACCUCUUUUGCUGCCAUUACAUCUUUCUUCCUCGACUAGAGGAUAAUUUUAAUACAUUUUGCAGUGGAUGGGACAACCAUUCACUGCGAACAGAAAACAACAUGAGUCCCCCAACCAGCUGUGGGAGUUGGGUCACAGAUAUUACCCUGUUCCUGUUCCAGAAAACACACAGCUUAUCACACAUUUGAUUUCCAUGUGUGACGACUGCAAGUGUCCAGAGUGAGGACAGACUGAGGGACCCACUGCUGCACAUCAUCUGUGAGGCUUUGCACCCCUGAUGAUCCACCAGGACACACUCAGCAGUGUGUGAGGAAGAGGAGGAGGAAGAGCCAGCAGCAGCUGACAGAUGGAGAGAAUAGACAGACUGUUCCCUGUUUGUGAAGGACUGCUAGAAAAGUUUAAAAUAACUAAUUGUCUGUCCUGAAUCAGUCUUAUUAGGUAAUGUUCAAAUAAUGUUAUCAUUCCAGUGUUUUCAGUGUGGGAGAAAGUACUCAGGGCCUUCAAGUUACACACUAUGAAAGGCAGCAACAAGUUUAAUAUUCAGAAACCUAAAGUAUGUAUCAGCAGCAGAAUGGAGCUAAAAAUAAAUGUUUGUUUCAGUUCUAUGAAGCUUUGAGUAUUUUGGAUUAGUAGUACUGCUGUGUUUGUUGCAUCAUAUUGCUGUAAUUGUUUAUAUGCUUUAUAUACUCAGAGGUAAGUUGAUCUAUGGUGUUAGAUCAUAUUCUAUAAGGAUGUUAUGUGUUUGUAUACUUUCUGCCCAGUUUGACCCAUUUAGCAGACGUCAGUCUGUUUAAGGCUCUGAUAUCUAUUCUGUAUGACUUAAAGCAGUUAUGACAUGGUCUGAUUUUCUCACCCAAUAAAGGAAUAUUUCAUAUAUCAGUCUACUCUUCAUUCUAUCAGCAACAGUUAUCACAGCUCGUACAUUUUCUUUUUACACAUAUAUGUGAGC